ACGGAGGGUGCAAGCGUUAAUCGGAAUUACUGGGCGUAAAGCGUGCGCAGGCAGUUUUGUAAGCCAGAUGUGAAAUCCCCGGGCUUAACCUGGGAAUGGCAUUUGGGACUGCAAGGCUGGAGUGCGGCAGAGGAGACUGGAAUUCCUGGUGUAGCAGGGAAAUGCGUAGAUAUCAGGAGGAACACCGAUGGCGAAGGCAGGUCUCUGGGCGGAAACUGACGCUAAU
Molecule: ribosomal RNA, 226 nt
Filed under: uncultured prokaryote
Description: partial 16S ribosomal RNA
Rfam family: Bacterial small subunit ribosomal RNA
Source: RNAcentral